This 755-nucleotide ribosomal RNA is filed under the name uncultured bacterium. Its description in RNAcentral is "bacterial SSU rRNA". It matches the Rfam family "Bacterial small subunit ribosomal RNA", at positions 28 to 778 of the family's 1533-position model. The record is from RNAcentral.
AUUGAACGCUGGCGGCAUGCCUUACACAUGCAAGUCGAACGGCAGCACGGGAGCAAUCCUGGUGGCGAGUGGCGAACGGGUGAGUAAUGCAUCGGAACGUGCCUAGUAGUGGGGGAUAGCCCGGCGAAAGCCGGAUUAAUACCGCAUAUGACCUGAGGGUGAAAGCGGGGGAUCGUAAGACCUCGCGCUAUUGGAGCGGCCGAUGUCGGAUUAGCUAGUUGGUGGGGUAAAAGCCUACCAAGGCUACGAUCCGUAGCUGGUCUGAGAGGACGACCAGCCACACUGGGACUGAGACACGGCCCAGACUCCUACGGGAGGCAGCAGUGGGGAAUUUUGGACAAUGGGCGCAAGCCUGAUCCAGCCAUGCCGCGUGCGGGAAGAAGGCCUCGGGUUGUAAACCGCUUUUGUCAGGGAAGAAAAGCUCUAAGCUAAUAUCUUGGAGUAAUGACGGUACCUGAAGAAUAAGCACCGGCUAACUACGUGCCAGCAGCCGCGGUAAUACGUAGGGUGCAAGCGUUAAUCGGAAUUACUGGGCGUAAAGCGUGCGCAGGCGGUUCCGCAAGACAGAUGUGAAAUCCCCGGGCUUAACCUGGGAACUGCAUUUGUGACUGCGUAACUAGAGUACGGUAGAGGGGGAUGGAAUUCCGCGUGUAGCAGUGAAAUGCGUAGAUAUGCGGAGGAACACCGAUGGCGAAGGCAGUCUCCUGGACCUGUACUGACGCUCAUGCACGAAAGCGUGGGGGAGCAAACAGGAU